Molecule: small nuclear RNA, 107 nt
Filed under: Mus pahari (shrew mouse)
Lineage: Eukaryota; Metazoa; Chordata; Mammalia; Rodentia; Muridae
Source: RNAcentral
GUGCUUGCUUCGGCAGCACAUAUUCUAAAAUUGGAACGAUACAGAGAAGAUUGGCAUGGCUCCUGUGCAAGGAUGACACCCAAAUUCAUGAAGCAUUCCAUGUUUUU